GUGGCUGUAGCUCAGUUGGUAGAGCCCCGGAUUGUGAUUCCGGUUGUCGUGGGUUCAAGUCCCAUCAGCCACC
Molecule: transfer RNA, 73 nt
Organism: Catenovulum agarivorans DS-2
Lineage: Bacteria; Pseudomonadati; Pseudomonadota; Gammaproteobacteria; Alteromonadales; Alteromonadaceae
Rfam family: tRNA
About the family: Transfer RNA (tRNA) molecules are approximately 80 nucleotides in length. Their secondary structure includes four short double-helical elements and three loops (D, anti-codon, and T loops). Further hydrogen bonds mediate the characteristic L-shaped molecular structure. tRNAs have two regions of fundamental functional importance: the anti-codon, which is responsible for specific mRNA codon recognition, and the 3' end, to which the tRNAs corresponding amino acid is attached (by aminoacyl-tRNA synthetases). tRNAs cope with the degeneracy of the genetic code in two manners: having more than one tRNA (with a specific anti-codon) for a particular amino acid; and 'wobble' base-pairing, i.e. permitting non-standard base-pairing at the 3rd anti-codon position.
Source: Rfam